RNAcentral lists this long non-coding RNA (1546 nucleotides) under Vulpes vulpes (red fox). Its description in RNAcentral is "lncRNA (ENSVVUG00000003408.1)". The record is from RNAcentral. Lineage: Eukaryota; Metazoa; Chordata; Mammalia; Carnivora; Canidae.
CCCGUUUCCAUGCAUCCUAAGGCAGGAAUCUCCUCUCAGCCCACAAUUGGAGGUCACAAUGGGCAACAGCCUAACAAUUCCUACCUGAAAGGAAACACAGUUGCCCCAACACAGGCUAUCGGCCUGCCCGCUCCUAUGACUCAGCCACCCGGAGGGACCACAAUGCAGUCGGGGUCUGCGGGCUCUCAUUUUGACACGACUGGCAACAAGCAGACGGCCUUUGGUAACCAGCCAGGUAUUCUCCACUCUCCUCAUUCUACCCCGACUUUCUGUGGAGGUACCACUGGGAUCCCUAGCACUGGGAACAGUAGCCCACAAGUUACAGGUACCACUACAGGCCCACAGACGUUUGUGGGACCUGCAAUCCCCAUGGAUGGGCUUAAUGUGUCCACACCAGGUUCCAUUUGCUCACAGGCGUCUGGAGCAUUCAACGUUGCAGCUGGACUGAAGGCGACAUCCAGCACCCCUUCUGCUCGUCCUCUUGGUCAGAUAGCCUCCAAUCCAUCGCAUGGAAGUCCAGCUGCUGCUAUAGGAAGGGCGAGUACUGUCCCAGGAUUGGGACAUGCUUCUAGUGCCACUUUCCAUCCAGGCACCUGGGCCCACCUGCCCAAAUCACAGGGGGUACUGUGAUGGGAAACACCACCAUUCCCCCUGUUGGAGGCGCCAGUGCGCCCACUGCCAAUACAUGUCCCCAAGGAUCACUGGGACAACAAAAUCCGGGGAAGGAACCCCCCCAAGCCACAGCACUUCUCCGUGUGGAAACGCCACCACCACAAACGUCUCUGUGUCAAAGGUCGUGCGUGUUUCCCUCUUACAGAGCACCAGGGCCUUGCCUGGCCACACGACCUCACUUUUAGUUGCAAGAAUCAGCACCGAGAUCUCAGUGCUUCGAUGCACUUCUAGUUCUACCUUCCCGCCAGGCACCCGGGGCCUUCAGGGCUCUCAGAGCCUCAGGGCAGCAGGGCAGCAGGGAGCCAGGGUAGCAGGGCAGCAGAGCAGGGCAGCAGGCCUGCAGGCAGCAGGGAGGCAUGGCUGCAGGAAUGGCUUGGCCGCAGGGCUGCAGGCUUCCCAUGGCAACAAGGCUGCAGGCUUCGAAGGGCAGCAGGGCUGGCUACAGGGCAGCAGGGCAGCAGGGCGGCAGUGAUGCAGGCCUCUCAGGGCAGCAGGACUGCAGGGCAGCCGGGCAGUAGGGCUGCAGGUCUCCCCGUGAGGCAGGGCUGUAGGGCUGCAGGGCACCAGGGCUGUAGGCCUCGCAGGGCCACCGGGCUUCAGGACAAUGGGCGGCAAAGCUUCAAGCCUCCCAGGGCGUCAGGGCUGCAGGCCUCUCAGAGCAUCAGGGCUGCAGGGCUCAGGGUGCAGGGUGGCAGGGCUACAGGCCUCACAGGGCCACCUGGCUGCAGGGCAAAGGGCAGCAAUGCUGCAAGCCUCCCAGGGCGUCAGGGCUGCAGAGCAGCAGGGCNUCAGGGCUGCAGAGCAGCAGGGCGGGAGGGCUGCAGGGCAGCAGGGCUGCAACGUAGGGGCGGUAGGGCAGCAGGGCGGCACGGAC